GGUCCUACGGGGCGCAGCAGUUAGGAAUAUUCGGCAAUGGGGGAAACCCUGACCGAGCAAUGCCGCGUGUGAGAUGACGGCCCUAUGGGUUGUAAAUCACUUUUAUUUGGGAAGAAAUGUAGAUAUAGGAAAUGAUGUCUACUUGACGGUACCUUUUGAAUAAGCCCCGGCUAACUACGUGCCAGCAGCCGCGGUAAUACGUAGGGGGCGAGCGUUAUCCGGAUUUAUUGGGCGUAAAGCGUGCGUAGGCGGCUUGUUAAGUCCAGAAUUAAAGCCCGAGGCUUAACCUCGGUUCGUUCUGGAUA
RNAcentral lists this ribosomal RNA (305 nucleotides) under uncultured bacterium. Its description in RNAcentral is "bacterial SSU rRNA". It matches the Rfam family "Bacterial small subunit ribosomal RNA", at positions 335 to 632 of the family's 1533-position model. The record is from RNAcentral.